AGAUAAGAAAGGCCUGCUUACUGGGAUGGCUGCAGGGGGAGCUGAGAGGAGAGCUGAAACUCAGUUCAUCUGGGCCACUGACUCAGAAGUCUUUCUUCCACUGGGCCUCUGCUGGGGCCCCAUGAGGGAGGCACAGGUCUGUACCUCAUUGACAGAGGGCACACAGGAGGCCCAAGUGAUUCGCCCAUCAUUAUGCAGAUGGCAAGUUGGAAGUCAAGGUUCACACCCAGGCAGCUGGGGUCCAGAGUUCACCCUCUUAAUCACUGUCGUGGGAAACCUCCUCCAAGAGCUGCCUUGCAGUGGGUGCUUGGAAGGUGAGUUGGACCAGGUCUGGGUCCUCUUCAGAUGACGAUCCAGACUCAGCGAGGUUGAGCAACCUGCCCACGGACACUCAGCCAAGACCCAGGCCAUCUGUCAGCUUAUUUCCCUGCCACCUAGAAACCACCUGGCUAGCUGGUCUCAAAGGAACUGGGGCUUUCUGCAGACACGGAGCUAGCUGUGAACUCUGAGGGCAAGUUUCUGAUACUGUAUUUUGCUGGUGGGACCAGGAGUUAUUGUUUGGGUCCUUGGGAACUAGCAAGGCCUCUUGGGAAUGUCAUCUGUAAGAAUCUGUUAACAUUUAGAAACACACAUUUCCUUUGGUCCUGCCAUCCCACACUGGGAAUCUCCUCUGCAGAAAUGAAAAGCCUAUAUGUCAGGCCACAGGAACGGCUUCCCAGGUGGCACUAGUGGUAAAGAACCCGCCUGUCAAUGCCGGAGACUCAACAGACACAGGUUCGAUCCCUGGGUCCCCUGGAGGAGGAAAUAGCAAGCCAUUCCAGUAUUCUGGCCUGGAAAAUUCCAUGGGCAGACAGCCUGGCGGACUACAGCCCAUGGGGUUGCGAAGAGUCAGAUACAACUGAGCACACAGACAUGAGGCCGUAGGAACGGGACUUGACUGUCGUGCGUUUGUGGUGGCAAAAGUCUAGAA
Molecule: long non-coding RNA, 970 nt
Organism: Bos taurus (domestic cattle)
Lineage: Eukaryota; Metazoa; Chordata; Mammalia; Artiodactyla; Bovidae
Source: Ensembl